RNAcentral lists this long non-coding RNA (237 nucleotides) under Nicotiana benthamiana. RNAcentral describes it as "long non-coding RNA (NBEN_LNC042582)". The record is from RNAcentral. Lineage: Eukaryota; Viridiplantae; Streptophyta; Magnoliopsida; Solanales; Solanaceae.
UAAUUUUGAACUACCGGUUGAUAUUAGUUUUGAUCGAUGGCUAUAAAUGAAGUUCUCGUCGAAAAUUCUUUUUUGGACUUUUCAUAUCAUUUUUUAAAUAUUUUUUGGGGGAAAAUUGGAUAGUUAGAUAAUUAGGGUCAUGCCCGAUUAUUAGUUCUUUUUAGUGUGGGUUUAUUUGUCCUUUUUCCUUUUAAAAAAGAAUAUUUGAAUACUUUGGGGAUUUAAAUAAGAUUUCUU